GACGAACGCUGGCGGCGUGCUUAACACAUGCAAGUCGAACGGAAAGGCCCUGCUUUUGUGGGGUGCUCGAGUGGCGAACGGGUGAGUAACACGUGAGUAACCUGCCCUUGACUUUGGGAUAACUUCAGGAAACUGGGGCUAAUACCGGAUAGGAGCUCCUGCUGCAUGGUGGGGGUUGGAAAGUUUCGGCGGUUGGGGAUGGACUCGCGGCUUAUCAGCUUGUUGGUGGGGUAGUGGCUUACCAAGGCAUUGACGGGUAGCCGGCCUGAGAGGGUGACCGGCCACAUUGGGACUGGGAUACGGCCCAGACUCCUACGGGAGGCAGCAGUGGGAACUAUUGCACAAUGGGCGGAAGCCUGAUGCAGCAACUCCGCGUGCGGGAUGACGGCCUUCGGGUUGUAAACCGCUUUCGCCUGUGACGAAGCGUGAGUGACGGUAAUGGGUAAAGAAGCACCGGCUAACUACGUG
This 468-nucleotide ribosomal RNA is filed under the name uncultured bacterium. RNAcentral's name for it is "partial 16S ribosomal RNA". It matches the Rfam family "Bacterial small subunit ribosomal RNA", at positions 28 to 507 of the family's 1533-position model. The record is from RNAcentral.